CACUCACAGGUCACAGCACACCACAGACCACACACAACCAAUACUAGCGUAUACUCAGAUUACACAGACACAGGCAUAGAGAGAGAGACCCGAGGAAGUGAGGGAGUCGCGGGGAAGAAGAAGGGAAGGAAAGGGGGGAGACCGCGCCGCCAAUGACGAUCGUCGCGCUUUACCGUCGGUCACUGCUGCUGAAUCGCCAUCAGAAACGGAACCGUGGAGAAAGGGCUUUCAAGACGCGAAGAGAGAGUCCGCGAGAAGAGGGAGGCCGCCCGCGUCCUGUCGCCGCCGCUGGAGGGAGGCCGUUCGCGUCCAGCUCGCCGCGGCUGUUGCAUCGCUGUCAUCGCACGCCGCCGUCGAGCCCGAAGCUGCCGCUAUCGCACGAAGCAGAGAGAGUGAAAGACGCGAUGGAGGGGUGAGGGAGGAGUUGCCACUGCUUCAGCUUGCGUUUUACUUACUCUGCUCUUUGGCCAUCGUCUGUCGCUGUGUUUGCUGCCAGCUUACCAUCUUCAAAGGUCAAUGCUCUGUUCGUGGCUCAUUGUAAUAGUGUAACAUUGUUAUUCAUUUUUUUGCUCUAUUCAUAAGGGUUAUUGAUCUUUGAAUUAUUCUUGAAUGAUUUGUGUUUUCAUUUUUUCAUUCAUUGAUUGUUGAUUAGCUCUUACUGCUGUUUGUGAUUAUUCAUGGUAAAUGUGCUGCUGUCUUGUUAUUCUUUGUGCUUUUGUGGCUUAAUUGUGAUUAGAUUGUGACUGUCUUGAUCAAAUUGUUGAGGAUUCUUGCCUCCAGAUUUGGGUGCUCCAAUUGAAUAUCUAUAGUUUUUGUUUUCAUGUUUUGUUGGUUUGUUUGUGAUUAUUUAAAAUUUGGAAUGCUUUGGCUGGAUUGAUAUUAUUGCUGAUUUUGAACCUGGACUUUGGCUUUGUUGUUGCAUUUUCAUUUGAAUUUCUGGAUAUGGUUGCUCUACAGCUUCAAUUUUUAUUUCACACGGCCUUCCACUAAACCAAGCUUUCAACAUAGAUUUUGGAUCUUUAGCGUAAACCUCCCUAGGAAUAUGAGAUUUCACACUUAGUUGCUUCCUUCUCUUGAAUUUACUGCUAAGAGAUUAACUUGCUAUCAUUUCAGAACAUUGUCAAGCAUGGGUUUGGAAGGUGAGCUUUUAUUCAUGAGAUUUUAUCACAAAGGAAAAGUUAUCAUAUUGUUAAGAGCUAUUUUUCAAUUGAUGUACACUUUUAUUAGAUGGUUCUUAUUCAUGAGCUUUUAUUUAAUUCUCUAAUUAUCUAUGACAUAGGAUCUAUUAAUUAUUCAAUAAUUAGUUUCCUGGUUUGAGUAUUUAAGUAUUAGAUUUUGAUAUCAUUAUGAAUAAAAUUUAUAUGUUUUGUUUUUGAAUAUCACUUGUGGCAAUGGCUUCUUAGCUUUCCGAGGCAAAAGAAAAUGUUACAUGAUCAUCACUCAUUUAAACAUCAUUAAGUGUUGUGUAAAUAUCAGAUUAACAACAAUUUUAUACUAACUAUUUUUUAUUAUCACAUUCAAUUAUCUUAUAAUAGAAGGUAUUUCACUGUUACCCUCUUUUUUUCCUCCUGCAGCUAUUCCUUGAACUACUUGAUUGUCUGCUAGAAUACUACUCCUAUGUAUUGCUUUACUGGUAGUCCUGGCUUCACUAACUUCUAUAAGGUGUGUGACACUUAUUAGAACUUCUCCAUGAGAAAUGAGAAAGGAGCUGUAUGAACAUGAUAGGGUUUCUAAUUUGUAGUUUAUAUUUUGGAGAUUUAUAAUUCUUUAUUUUUCUUGUCCUGUGUAUCUAUCUAGUUCAUUAGGGUUCUUCAAUGUAUCUUGUUAGUUUGUACUUUAAAAUUUAUAUGUUAAAGAUUUAUAAAACAAUAUUAGUUAAUGAAAGAUAUUUGAACUAUC
Long non-coding RNA from Arachis ipaensis, 1899 nucleotides. RefSeq lists it as uncharacterized. Lineage: Eukaryota; Viridiplantae; Streptophyta; Magnoliopsida; Fabales; Fabaceae. The record is from RefSeq and is a predicted model, not a curated record.